Non-coding RNA from Labrus bergylta (ballan wrasse), 459 nucleotides. NCBI's taxonomy places the organism in Eukaryota, Metazoa, Chordata, Actinopteri, Labriformes, Labridae. The record is from RefSeq and is a predicted model, not a curated record.
UGAUGAAAGUAGUGACUAACUGUAUCUCACAGCACAAGGAGAGCAUCUCUACAGAAACAUUUCCAUGACAAGAGUGACUGUUUGAGAAGAAAGAUGUUCUCUGUCUUAAAGAGACCAACACUGACCCGGGCAGGGCUGAUGGAAGCCGUUCAACAAGGUCAAAGAUCAACCAUCUACAGCAAGCCAGCAAAGGAAAAGAUCGGUCCUGUGCAGUCUCUCUUUACCUUGUGUGUGUUUGCUGUGACCCUCUUGGCCCCCGCUGGAUGGAUCAUGCAUCACAUCCCACAAUACCGGCGGAGUUUACCUCCACAACCCUGACCCCUGACUUCUGCUAGGAAACCAUGCAGUGUAAUUGUGUUAAGAACCCCUUCAAUGUGUACAAUGUGUAAAAUUCCUUUAUAAAAGGAAUGAAAUCUUGAGGUAUAAAUUGUUGAUUAUAAAAUAAACUUUGAGAAGACA